This 251-nucleotide ribosomal RNA is filed under the name uncultured prokaryote. RNAcentral's name for it is "partial 16S rRNA". It matches the Rfam family "Bacterial small subunit ribosomal RNA", at positions 525 to 775 of the family's 1533-position model. The record is from RNAcentral.
ACGUAGGGGGCAAGCGUUGUUCGGAAUUACUGGGCGUAAAGGGCAUGUAGGCGGUUUAGUAAGCUUGGCGUGAAAGACCACGGCUUAACUGUGGGGUUGCGUUGAGAACUGCUGAACUUGAGUUACGGAGAGGGAGCUAGAAUUCCUGGUGUAGGGGUGAAUGGUGUAGAGAUGAGGAGGAAGAGCGAUGGGGAGGGCAAGCAACUGGCCUAUAUCCGAAGCUAAUCUGGGAAAUUGUCUGAAGUGGUGUG